UGCCAGCAGCCGCGGUAAUACGGAGGGUGCAAGCAUUAAUCGGAUUUAUUGGGUUUAAAGGGUCCGUAGGCGGGAAAAUAAGUCAGUGGUGAAAGCCUGCAGCUCAACUGCAGAACUGCCAUUGAAACUGUUUUUCUUGAAUAUAGAUGAAGUGGGCGGAAUAUAUCAUGUAGCGGCGAAAUGCAUAGAUAUGAUAUAGAACACCGAUUGCGAAGGCAGCUCACUAAACUAUUAUUGACGCUGAGGGACGAAAGCGUGGGGAGCGAACAGGAUUAGAUA
This 279-nucleotide ribosomal RNA is filed under the name uncultured bacterium. Its description in RNAcentral is "partial 16S ribosomal RNA". It matches the Rfam family "Bacterial small subunit ribosomal RNA", at positions 506 to 784 of the family's 1533-position model. The record is from RNAcentral.